This 261-nucleotide ribosomal RNA is filed under the name uncultured bacterium. Its description in RNAcentral is "partial 16S ribosomal RNA". It matches the Rfam family "Bacterial small subunit ribosomal RNA", at positions 76 to 339 of the family's 1533-position model. The record is from RNAcentral.
GUGCUUGCACCUGAUGGCGAGUGGCGAACGAGUGAGUAAUGCAUCGGAACGUGCCCAAUCGUGGGGGAUAACGCAGCGAAAGCUGUGCUAAUACCGCAUACGAUCUACGGAUGAAAGCGGGGGACCUUCGGGCCUCGCGCGAUUGGAGCGGCCGAUGUUAGAUUAGGUAGUUGGUAGGGUAAAGGCCUACCAAGGCUUCGAUCAGUAGUUGGUCUGAGAGGACGACCAGCCACACUGGGACUGAGACACGGCCCAGACUCC